UACAGAGGUCUCAAGCGUUGUUCGGAUUCAUUGGGCGUAAAGGGUGCGUAGGUGGCCAGGUAAGUUCGGUGUGAAAGCUCGGAGCUUAACUCCGAAAUGGCAUUGAAUACUAUCUGGCUAGAGGGUCGGAGGGGAGACUGGAAUUCUCGGUGUAGCAGUGAAAUGCGUAGAUAUCGAGAGGAACACCAGUGGCGAAGGCGAGUCUCUGGACGACUCCUGACACUGAGGCACGAAAGCCAGGGGAGCAAACAGG
RNAcentral lists this ribosomal RNA (253 nucleotides) under uncultured bacterium. RNAcentral describes it as "partial 16S ribosomal RNA". It matches the Rfam family "Bacterial small subunit ribosomal RNA", at positions 524 to 776 of the family's 1533-position model. The record is from RNAcentral.